This 245-nucleotide ribosomal RNA is filed under the name uncultured bacterium. RNAcentral describes it as "partial 16S ribosomal RNA". It matches the Rfam family "Bacterial small subunit ribosomal RNA", at positions 524 to 769 of the family's 1533-position model. The record is from RNAcentral.
UACGUAGGGUGCAAGCGUUGUCCGGAAUUAUUGGGCGUAAAGAGCUCGUAGGCGGUCUGUUGCGUCGGCUGUGAAAACCCGGGGCUCAACUCCGGGCCUGCAGCCGAUACGGGCAGACUAGAGUUCGGCAGGGGAGACUGGAAUUCCUGGUGUAGCGGUGAAAUGCGCAGAUAUCAGGAGGAAUACCGAUGGCGAAGGCAGGUCUCUGGGCUGACACUGACGCUCAUGCACGAAAGCGUGGGAGC